Molecule: ribosomal RNA, 536 nt
Filed under: uncultured bacterium
Lineage: Bacteria
Description: bacterial LSU rRNA
Rfam family: Bacterial large subunit ribosomal RNA
Source: RNAcentral
GCGAACAGGGACCAGCCUGCAAGAGAUAACUAGUGUGUUAGUGGAACGCUCUGGAAAGUGCGGCCAUAGUGGGUGAUAGCCCCGUACGCGAAAACACAUUAGCGAGACUGAGCUUGCGACAAGUAGGGCGGGACACGUGAAAUCCUGUCUGAAGAUGGGGGGACCAUCCUCCAAGGCUAAAUACUCGUAAUCGACCGAUAGUGAACCAGUACCGUGAGGGAAAGGCGAAAAGAACCCCGGGAGGGGAGUGAAAUAGAUCCUGAAAACCGCAUGCAUACAAACAGUGGGAGCCUCGCAAGGGGUGACUGCGUACCUUUUGUAUAAUGGGUCAGCGACUUACGUUCUGUAGCGAGCUUAACCGAAUAGGGGAGGCGUAGCGAAAGCGAGUCUGAUAAGGGCGCUUUAGUUGCAGGGCGUAGACCCGAAACCAGAUGAUCUAUCCAUGGCCAGGAUGAAGGUGCCGUAACAGGUACUGGAGGUCCGAACCCACUAAUGUUGAAAAAUUAGGGGAUGAGCUGUGGAUAGGGGUGAAAGGC